Molecule: ribosomal RNA, 1382 nt
Filed under: Salmonella enterica subsp. enterica
Lineage: Bacteria; Pseudomonadati; Pseudomonadota; Gammaproteobacteria; Enterobacterales; Enterobacteriaceae
Description: partial 23S ribosomal RNA
Rfam family: Bacterial large subunit ribosomal RNA
Source: RNAcentral
UACGGUGCUGAAGCAACAAAUGCCCUGCUUCCAGGAAAAGCCUCUAAGCAUCAGGUAACAUCAAAUCGUACCCCAAACCGACACAGGUGGUCAGGUAGAGAAUACCAAGGCGCUUGAGAGAACUCGGGUGAAGGAACUAGGCAAAAUGGUGCCGUAACUUCGGGAGAAGGCACGCUGACACGUAGGUGAAGUGAUUUACUCAUGGAGCUGAAGUCAGUCGAAGAUACCAGCUGGCUGCAACUGUUUAUUAAAAACACAGCACUGUGCAAACACGAAAGUGGACGUAUACGGUGUGACGCCUGCCCGGUGCCGGAAGGUUAAUUGAUGGGGUCAGCGCAAGCGAAGCUCCUGAUCGAAGCCCCGGUAAACGGCGGCCGUAACUAUAACGGUCCUAAGGUAGCGAAAUUCCUUGUCGGGUAAGUUCCGACCUGCACGAAUGGCGUAAUGAUGGCCAGGCUGUCUCCACCCGAGACUCAGUGAAAUUGAACUCGCUGUGAAGAUGCAGUGUACCCGCGGCAAGACGGAAAGACCCCGUGAACCUUUACUAUAGCUUGACACUGAACAUUGAGCCUUGAUGUGUAGGAUAGGUGGGAGGCUUUGAAGUGUGGACGCCAGUCUGCAUGGAGCCGACCUUGAAAUACCACCCUUUAAUGUUUGAUGUUCUAACGUGGACCCGUUACCCGGGUUGCGGACAGUGUCUGGUGGGUAGUUUGACUGGGGCGGUCUCCUCCUAAAGAGUAACGGAGGAGCACGAAGGUUGGCUAAUCCUGGUCGGACAUCAGGAGGUUAGUGCAAUGGCAUAAGCCAGCUUGACUGCGAGCGUGACGGCGCGAGCAGGUGCGAAAGCAGGUCAUAGUGAUCCGGUGGUUCUGAAUGGAAGGGCCAUCGCUCAACGGAUAAAAGGUACUCCGGGGAUAACAGGCUGAUACCGCCCAAGAGUUCAUAUCGACGGCGGUGUUUGGCACCUCGAUGUCGGCUCAUCACAUCCUGGGGCUGAAGUAGGUCCCAAGGGUAUGGCUGUUCGCCAUUUAAAGUGGUACGCGAGCUGGGUUUAGAACGUCGUGAGACAGUUCGGUCCCUAUCUGCCGUGGGCGCUGGAGAACUGAGGGGGGCUGCUCCUAGUACGAGAGGACCGGAGUGGACGCAUCACUGGUGUUCGGGUUGUCAUGCCAAUGGCACUGCCCGGUAGCUAAAUGCGGAAGAGAUAAGUGCUGAAAGCAUCUAAGCACGAAACUUGCCCCGAGAUGAGUUCUCCCUGAGACUUUAGGUCUCCUGAAGGAACGUUGAAGACGACGACGUUGAUAGGCCGGGUGUGUAAGCGCAGCGAUGCGUUGAGCUAACCGGUACUAAUGAACCGUGAGGCUUAACCUUACAACGCCGAA